This 464-nucleotide ribosomal RNA is filed under the name uncultured Klebsiella sp. RNAcentral's name for it is "bacterial SSU rRNA". It matches the Rfam family "Bacterial small subunit ribosomal RNA", at positions 338 to 795 of the family's 1533-position model. Lineage: Bacteria; Pseudomonadati; Pseudomonadota; Gammaproteobacteria; Enterobacterales; Enterobacteriaceae. The record is from RNAcentral.
CCUACGGGGGGCUGCAGUGGGGAAUAUUGCACAAUGGGCGCAAGCCUGAUGCAGCCAUGCCACGUGUGUGAAGAAGGCCUUCGGGUUGUAAAGCACUUUCAGCGGGGAGGAAGGCGUUAAGGUUAAUAACCUUGGCGAUUGACGUUACCCGCAGAAGAAGCACCGGCUAACUCCGUGCCAGCAGCCGCGGUAAUACGGAGGGUGCAAGCGUUAAUCGGAAUUACUGGGCGUAAAGCGCACGCAGGCGGUCUGUCAAGUCGGAUGUGAAAUCCCCGGGCUCAACCUGGGAACUGCAUUCGAACUGGCAGGCUAGAGGCUUGUAGAGGGGGGUAGAAGUCCAGGUGUAGCGGUGAAAUGCGUAGAGAUCUGGAGGAAUACCGGUGGCGAAGGCGGCCCCCUGGACAAAGACUUACGCUCAGGUGCGAAAGCGUGGGGAGCAAACAGGAUUAGAUACCCGGGGAGUC